This 301-nucleotide ribosomal RNA is filed under the name uncultured bacterium. Its description in RNAcentral is "partial 16S ribosomal RNA". It matches the Rfam family "Bacterial small subunit ribosomal RNA", at positions 509 to 809 of the family's 1533-position model. The record is from RNAcentral.
CAGUAGCCGCGGUAAUACGUAGGUGGCAAGCGUUGUCCGGAAUUAUUGGGCGUAAAGCGCGCGCAGGCGGAUCAGUUAGUCUGUCUUAAAAGUUCGGGGCUUAACCCCGUGAGGGGAUGGAAACUGCUGAUCUAGAGUAUCGGAGAGGAAAGUGGAAUUCCUAGUGUAGCGGUGAAAUGCGUAGAUAUUAGGAAGAACACCAGUGGCGAAGGCGACUUUCUGGACGAAAACUGACGCUGAGGCGCGAAAGCCAGGGGAGCGAACGGGAUUAGAUACCCCCGUAGUCCCUGUCUCUUAUACA